UGGAAUGUGUGGUGUAGCGGUGAAAUGCUUAGAGAUCACACAGAAUAUCGAUUGCGAAGGCAGCUCACAAAGCCAAGAUUGACGCUGAGGCACGAAAGUGUGGGGAUCAAACAGGAUUAGAUACCCUGGUAGUCCACACUGUAAACGAUGAUAACUCGCUGUCGGCGAUACACAGUCGGUGGCCAAGCGAAAGCGAUAAGUUAUCCACCUGGGGAGUACGACCGCAAGGUUGAAACUCAAAGGAAUUGACGGGGGCCCGCACAAGCGGAGGAACAUGUGGUUUAAUUCGAUGAUACGCGAGGAACCUUACCCGGGCUCGAACGGUGCAUGAAUGGACAAGAGAUUGUUCAGACCUUAGGGACAUGUAUCGAGGUGCUGCAUGGUUGUCGUCAGCUCGUGCCGUGAGGUGUCGGCUUAAGUGCCAUAACGAGCGCAACCCUUGUCAUUAGUUACCAUCAGGUAGAGCUGGGGACUCUAAUGAGACCGCCACCGUAAGGUGAGAGGAAGGGGGGGAUGACGUCAAAUCAGCACGGCCCUUAUGUCCGGGGCGACACACGUGUUACAAUGGGGGGUACAGAGGGCAGCCAUCCGGCGACGGAGCGCCAAUCUCAAAAACCCUUCUCAGUUCGGAUUGGAGUCUGCAACUCGACUCCAUGAAGUUGGAUUCGCUAGUAAUCGCGCAUCAGCCAUGGCGCGGUGAAUACGUUCCCGGGCCUUGUACACACCGCCCGUCAAGCCAUGGAAGCUUGGGGUGCCUGAAGUUCGUGACCGCAAGGAGCGACCUAGGGCAAAACAAGUAACUGGGGCUAAGUCGUAACAAGGUAACCGUA
This 830-nucleotide ribosomal RNA is filed under the name uncultured bacterium. Its description in RNAcentral is "bacterial SSU rRNA". It matches the Rfam family "Bacterial small subunit ribosomal RNA", at positions 662 to 1504 of the family's 1533-position model. The record is from RNAcentral.